Molecule: ribosomal RNA, 483 nt
Filed under: uncultured bacterium
Lineage: Bacteria
Description: partial 16S ribosomal RNA
Rfam family: Bacterial small subunit ribosomal RNA
Source: RNAcentral
AUUGAACGCUGGCGGCAGGCCUAACACAUGCAAGUCGAGCGGAUGAAGGGAGCUUGCUCCUGGAUUCAGCGGCGGACGGGUGAGUAAUGCCUAGGAAUCUGCCUGGUAGAGGGGUUAACGGCCGGAAACGGGCGCUAAUACCGCAAACGUCCUGAGGGAGGAAGUGGGGGAUCUUCGGGCCUCACGCACGUAGAUGAGCCUAGGUCGGAUUAGCUAGUUGGUGGGGUAAAGGCCUACCAAGGCGACGAUCCGUAACUGGUCUGAGAGGAUGAUCAGUCACACUGGAACUGAGACACGGUCCAGACUCCUACGGGAGGCAGCAGUGGGGAAUAUUGGACAAUGGGCGAAAGCCUGAUCCAGCCAUGCCGCGUGUGUGAAGAAGGUCUUCGGAUUGUAAAGCACUUUAAGUUGGGAGGAAGGGCAGUAAGUUAAUACCUUGCUGUUUUGACGGUACCAACAGAAUAAGCACCGGCUAACUUCGUG